GAAUCCGCYAAGGAGUGUGUAACAACUCACCUGCCGAAUGAAUUAGCCCUGAAAAUGGAUGGCGCUCAAGCGGGUAGCCGACACCACACCGUCUAAAUGAGAUCCUGAUUUAGAUGAGUAGGAGGAACGUGGCGGUUGUUUGGAAGCGUUAGGUGCAAACCUGCGUGGAACGGCCGCUAGUGCAGAUCUUGGUGUUAGUAGCAAAUAUUCAAAUGAAAACCUUGAAGGGCGACGCGAGGAAGGGUUCCACGCCAACAUUGAUUGAGCGUGGGUUAGUCGUUCCUAAGCCGUUUGGUAAUUCCUAUCUUACCGGCGAAAGGGAAGCAAGUUGAUAUUCUUGCACAUGUACAUGAAUGCGGCGACGCGCAUCUGGCGCCCCUAAAUGGGCCGUGGCUCUGGGCAGAGAUCUCUUUUCUGUUUAACUUGGUUUCGAUAUGCUGUGUGGAAUCCGAUUGUCGGGAGAAACACGCAUGUUCGGGCAUAGCGCCGGUAUUUUGCCGGCGUCCAGUACGCCAUCGCCGAUCCUUGAAACGGGGCGUGCAGGCAGGCUUUAUUGUCUGUGAGAAACUUUCAUGUCAUGACGUACCGAUAACCGCAUCAGGUCCUCAAGGUGAACAGCCUCUGCUCGAUAUGAUAAAUGCAGGUAAGGGAAGUCGGCA
Molecule: ribosomal RNA, 659 nt
Filed under: Malaconema minimum
Lineage: Eukaryota; Rhodophyta; Florideophyceae; Ceramiales; Sarcomeniaceae
Description: eukaryotic LSU rRNA
Rfam family: Eukaryotic large subunit ribosomal RNA
Source: RNAcentral